AAAAAAAAAAAAACGAAACGAAAUAAAUAAAAAGGGAUCUCCGGAUAAACGAACGGAAACGCGAAAUCCCCGUGCUUCCCGUUCGCCGCCGUGACGACGAUAGGAAACGAUGUCGUUAAGAUCCACUCGAAAAUCGGACCGUCCUCACCUAACCUAACCGUCCGUAUAAUAAUAUAAUAUAGUCUCGGCGAUACGCAGUUUUUCUACCCUCCUUGUCUCCUGCCCGUGAUAUCGCGCGAUUCACUUAGCGGUUCGCGUGGUACACGAAAUUGCCCGUUAAGGACGAUCCCUCCGCGCGACCUUGUAAAAUAGAAAUACCGAGAAUUAUUACGAGCAUAGCGGAGAUUCGCGUUACCGGCCUAGCGUCGAGAACGGGGAAAAUAAAUUCGUCGUCGACACUGUUAAAUUGUGUUCGGAUGGCGAAAUAAUAACGGAAUGUUCAAUUCGGUUGUUUCAGAAAAAAAAAAAAAAAAACAAAAAUCGGAAUUCGGAAUGUAAAAUGGUUUCCGUACGCCGGGUGCCCCACGAACGCCCGUACACCCGUUUCGAUGUUACCGGAAGUAUUUCUUUGUUGAAAAUGUAUACAUUUUUUUUUUUUGAAAAAUUACAAAAUCCAGCAGCUUUAAAAUGUCACGUUCCCGUUAUUUUCUGUCGCCGUUGCUUUUUGAGGGGCGGCGGGCAACGCAAAUGCCAUAUACAAACGCGUAACGUUAGUUCAAACACACUUUGGUGUUAACGCGUUCGAUUUCCGUCGCCCCGUCCGUUCCACUUUCAAGACAGUGGGAGACAGUGAGCGGACGGCUAUUGAAACGGCGCACAACCGAUAACCGGACUUCAGUUUCUCGUCACCGGAUUGGGUUAGGUCCGAGAUGGCACUAGCGGGUAUGUGUUCGUGGAAC
Molecule: non-coding RNA, 899 nt
Organism: Cinara cedri
Lineage: Eukaryota; Metazoa; Arthropoda; Insecta; Hemiptera; Aphididae
Source: the annotation of a GenBank genome assembly